UACCGAAUGCUUGGGAGAAUGUUCUGGAG
RNAcentral lists this non-coding RNA (29 nucleotides) under Homo sapiens (human). Lineage: Eukaryota; Metazoa; Chordata; Mammalia; Primates; Hominidae. The record is from RNAcentral.